RNAcentral lists this transfer RNA (69 nucleotides) under Salmo salar (Atlantic salmon). It matches the Rfam family "tRNA". From Rfam's summary of the family: Transfer RNA (tRNA) molecules are approximately 80 nucleotides in length. Their secondary structure includes four short double-helical elements and three loops (D, anti-codon, and T loops). Lineage: Eukaryota; Metazoa; Chordata; Actinopteri; Salmoniformes; Salmonidae. The record is from Rfam by way of RNAcentral.
CCCAUGUGUCUCAGUUGGUAGAGAAAGGUGCUUGCAAUGCCAUGGUUGUGGGUUUGAGUCCCAUUGGGA